Molecule: long non-coding RNA, 653 nt
Filed under: Rattus norvegicus (Norway rat)
Lineage: Eukaryota; Metazoa; Chordata; Mammalia; Rodentia; Muridae
Description: long non-coding RNA NONRATT024642
Rfam family: Small nucleolar RNA SNORD113/SNORD114 family (bases 511-595)
Source: RNAcentral
CUGCAUUUUACUCUCAGAAUAGAUACCUCCAAGGUGAUCUCCAAGUUCUUCCUCAGUCUUGAGGUUUGGGAUUCCCGGUUUUUGUCAGUAGAAUUGUGAGAGUAAUAGAUACCUCCAAGGUGAUCUCCAUGUUCUUCCUCAGUCUUGAGGUUUGGGAUUCCUGGUUUGUGUAAGCAGAAUUGUGAGAGUGUGAGUUCAUCCUAUUUUCUUCAGAACGAUUUUUUUCUUGCAUGUAUUCCCUCUUCCUGUAUGAAUUUAGUAUCUUGGGAGAUCAUCUGUAGACAGUGGUUCAAUAAGGAACGCAUAUGAAAAUAAUAUGUUCCAUGAACAGAUUCCUAUGAAGAGUGGGCAAUGACAGAGGUAGUGACCACUGCCAAAGAUGCUCUAGCGUUUAAAGUCCACUCAAGCAUCUGGUAGUUAAUGUUAGUUUUCAAUGGAAAUCUGACCAGCACUACUAGUGAUCAGAUGCUCAAUAAAUGCAGCACAAUUUAGAGUCUGGGUGGAUGAUGUUGGAUCAUUGAUGACCAAAAAAAAAUCAUCUGGGAGUCCUCUGAGACAUCCAUGAUGACCACAACAUUGGGAGUCUGAGGUCCACAUCAUAAUCUAUGCACUGCAUGCUGGGAUACUGGUUAGAGAUGUUAGAUAUAGUCCAA